Molecule: long non-coding RNA, 1497 nt
Filed under: Homo sapiens (human)
Lineage: Eukaryota; Metazoa; Chordata; Mammalia; Primates; Hominidae
Description: HSALNT0196561
Source: RNAcentral
UUUUUAACAGAGCCCAGAUUUUUAAUGUGAAACAUCCUACCUUUUAAAUGAUGCCAGUUAAUGUUUUAAAAAAUAAUGAAUCUCUGUGCAAGAGCAGCUAAGCACAUUUGUGGCCCACCAGUGGACAAACUCUGAGUUAGACAUUGUGGCAGCUGGGGAGGGGGCUCCUGCUUUCACUGAAUUUGCAGGCCCCGGGGGAGCUGGCUGUGAGGAAGCCAGUUCUCAGCUCUGGAGUGACCAUGUGUGGUGGGUUCUACAGCGGGGAAGCACUGUGGGCUGGGCGAGUGCGUUCUUCCAGGAGGAGGAUUUGGCUCUGCCCUGACGGCUGAGUGUGGGGUGAAGGGGAGCGGGCAGGAGGCUGGGGAAGGUCAGGCCCUGCAGAGGAAAUGGCUUCAGCAAAGGCUUGGCAGAGGGACUUGGCCCCGGCCAUCUGCACAUCCGAAGGGCAUCCAGCGUGUCCCUUGGCAACACAAGGAGCAGUUACUCCAUCCCUCACUCAGUGGAAAAGGAGGGCAGCCCCUUCUUGAUAACUGUGCCAUGCUCAGGAAUCGCCAGCCAGAGCGGCAGUGAGUAGAGGGCAGGUCAGGCUGGCCUGGGGUCCCUGGCCCCAUGUACUGGCUGGAAACCGGAGCCUCCUUGGGGGCCUCUCUGUGCCUGCCAUUAUCCACUCCAGUCUUAGCUCCUAGACCCUGCCUGGCCCUCUCUUUCCUGAAGGAGGGAACCUGGAAACGCACUUCAGAUUCCUCGGUGCUUAUGUACUGUUUGGGGCGAGGCCUGGCACAUUCCAGAACAAAUGGAAUUAGCAGGCAGUGAGGGGGGAGUAAGCUCCACAGGGAGGAGGCGGGAUAGAGGCAGCAGAGGGAGGCCGCUGGCCUGGGUUUUGCUCCUCCUGGCAGGGUCUGCAUGGAGCUUUGGCCCUCAGUCUUCCUCUCCCCAGCCUCUACUGUUCCAGAUCACCAUGGGGUCUCGGAGAGGGGCUCUUAGUCAGGAGGAAAUCCUCCAGGGUCAAAGCCAAGGUUAAAGUGACUUCCGUGUGAGCAUCUUCUUCCUACCCAGCACCGGUUUAUGAUGAACAGACAGCGAAGGCUCCAUUGCAACUGGAGGGCCAGGUGUCACAGCUCAUACCUGUAAUCCCAGUGCUCUGGGAGGACAAGGCAGGAGGAUCACUUGAAGCCAGGAGUUCGGGACCAGCCUGGGCAACAUGGCAAGACCCUGUCUCUAAAAAAUAAAAAUGGGGCGCAGUGGCUCAUGCCUGUAAUCCCAGCACCUGGGAGGCUGAGGCAGGCGGAUCACUUGAGGCCAGGAGUUCGAGACCAGCCUGGGCAACAUGGUAAAACCCCCAUCUCUACUAAAAAAUACAAAAAUUAGCCAGGCAUGGUGGCGGGCACCUGUAAUCCCAGCUACUCAGGAGGCUGAGGCAGGAGAAUCCCUUGAACCCAGGAGGUGGAGGUUGCGGUGAGCUUGGAUCGCGUCAUGGUAUUCCAACCUCGGGUGACA